This 84-nucleotide transfer RNA is filed under the name Ignavibacteria bacterium. RNAcentral's name for it is "tRNA-Tyr". It matches the Rfam family "tRNA". From Rfam's summary of the family: Transfer RNA (tRNA) molecules are approximately 80 nucleotides in length. Their secondary structure includes four short double-helical elements and three loops (D, anti-codon, and T loops). Lineage: Bacteria; Pseudomonadati; Ignavibacteriota; Ignavibacteria. The record is from RNAcentral.
GGGUAGGUAGCGAAGCGGUCAAACGCAACAGACUGUAAAUCUGUCGACAAUUGUCUUCGGAGGUUCGAAUCCUUCCCUACCCAC